Molecule: unclassified non-coding RNA, 356 nt
Filed under: Melitaea cinxia (Glanville fritillary)
Lineage: Eukaryota; Metazoa; Arthropoda; Insecta; Lepidoptera; Nymphalidae
Description: misc RNA ENSMCXG00005000881.1
Source: RNAcentral
AACCGUACUUUAUAAAAUUGUGUGAUCCUUGCUUAGCGUUGUCUCGAUUCAACAAAUAUUAUAGUGUCAGUGUUUAUCGCCCCCAAACUGGGGUUCGACGUUUGGGUCACCAAUUUCGACGUUUGGGUCACCAAUUACGACGUUUGGGUCACCAAUUUCGACGUUUCCACCUAACCCCAACGACGAGAGUGCACUCCGCCGGGUCUUGAACUACCCGUUCCUGCCGCCCCCGGUCGAUAGCGGAAUCCUGCCACGCGACUCCCGGGAAUAUCACCUGCACGGCGAACCAGGAGAGUACCUGAGCCGAACUGCAUUUGGAGCUUGUGUGAAUUGAGUGCUCGACCCCACCCAUAUAC